CUUUUCCCCCUUAGCAACGGGCCCAGGCGUCGGUUACUAAGGGAGGCCUUGCGGUCGCGGACGCUUGGUUGGCAACUUUUGCCCCAGCUCCCUUCAUAAAUACAGAUGUCCCACUGAUGCCCAGGUUCUUGUUUGAGGAGUCAAAGAGUGAACUGAGCAAACAAUCAAGGAUACUGGCGUCUUGGUCUAGGAACGUUAUCAAAAGGCCGCCUGCCCAGCCCCUGAGGUGGGCUGAGGUAUUGUCUGUUUGCUAAAGAAGGCCCUCAUUCUAUUCUGUCUAAGCCCAUGGUCCCUGUCUCACCAUUUCCAGAAAGGACGCUGGGUCAUUUUAAGUUUUCAGUGUGAAGAGGCCUCAGCCACCAUAUUAUUGUCGUCAGAAUGGAAACAGGUCACAGAGGAAGGACCUUUACCAAGCAUGUAAAGAGCCCGUCUCUGAAGGCAUGAAUGGAAACUGAGGCAUUGAAUAAAAACAGCCACCAAACGUAUUGUUUACUUAAAUGCUCUGCUAAGUACAUCACAUGCAAAAUUCAUAUUAAAUCUUUACACCAACCCUGCCUGACAUUACACACAUUUUACAGCCCAGGAAACCCAAAAAGGUUAGAGAAGCAAUGUCUUGUAAUCCAGCUUGUAAGUGGUAGAAACAAGAUCGGCAGUCCAGACCAUGUGUCUCCAGAGAGCGCUGUCCAAUAGAAAUAUAAGGAAAGCUGCAUUUUAAAUUUUUAGUAGUCACAUUAAAAAUAAAAAAGAUUAAAAAUUUUUAAUUCGUUAGUUAAAAACCCAGAUGAAAUUAAUUUUAAUAAUAGCUUUUAUUUGACCCAAUAUGUCCAAAAUAUUGUCCUUUAUAUGUAAAAUUUAUUAAUGAAAUAUUUUCAUUAUUUUUCUGUUCUAAGUACACCUUAAUUUGAACUAACAUGUGCUUGAUAGCCACAUGUGGCCAGUAGCUACCACAUUGGACCACACGGCUUAUAAAGCUAGAGAGAAUUUGCCUCCCUUUUAAUCACUUUCCCAACUCCAGAGCAAGUAAUUGUCAUUGCUUUAGUAAAGAAAUCAAUGCUUUACUCAGUGGGUUCUCAAAACUUUUGAUCUCAGGAUCCCUUGGUAGGCUUAAACAUUAUGGAGAGCUUUCAUUUAUGGGGUUAUAGCUAACUAUACUUAUAUUAUUAGAAAACAAAGUUGAGAAAUAAUGUUUAGUUUUUUAAAAAAUUAAAGUAUAUUUUAUACAUUAAAAUUCACCUAUGUUUAGUGCGUAGUUCUGAAUUUUGGCAAAUGCAUAGUCAUGUAACCACUACCAUAACCAACAUAUAGAAUCACCACCCCCCUAAAAUCAUUACCCCCUGUCCCUUUGUAGUCAGCUCCUCUAUCCAACCCGAGCAGAUGGAAACCACCAAUUAAGACUGAGAAAAAAUUUUAAACCCAGGAAUACCAAAGCAUACAUUCCAUUAAACAUCAAAGCCAUGACCUCAUCACAUGUUGUGUAGUCUCUGGAAAACUCCAGGGCACACUCAUGAGUGAAUGGAAUGGGAAAGGCAAAUAAUGUCUUAAUGUUUUGUGCAAAUGGUUUUGACCUCAACACCCCCCUGAUGGGUGCCCCAGAAGGGCUCCUGUAACUAUGCUGCAGCCACUACUUUAGCCUCCUGAGUGAAUACCCUGAUUUCCCAUCCCCAUAUCUGCUCAGAGUCUACAUUCUAGGCUCUUUUAAGUAACUGGCAUUUAUAGAGUAUAGCCAAUCAAUUCACAAAUAUUUUUUAGCAUUUUACAAGCCUUAUCUCUAUUGAAUUCUCGUAAUGACCACAUGAGUCACAACAGUAUAGACAGUCCCUGGCUUAAAAUGUUUCAGCUUAACUAUUUUUCUUCAACCUUAUGAUGGUGUGAAAACACUGGGCAUUCGAUUUGAAUUUUGAUCUUUUCCUGGACCAGCAACAUGCAGUAGGAUAUUCUCUCACAAUGCUGGCAGCAGCUGAAAGGCACAGGUCGGUCAGCCAGGCAAUCAGCAGGGUGAAUAACCCACACAUUUAGAACCAUUCUGUAUGCGAACAGCCGUUCUGUUGCUUACUUUCAGUACAGUAUUCAGUAAAUUACUGGAGAUAUUCAACACUUAAUUAUAAAUUUGGCCUUUUUUUGCAGAUGAUUUUGCCCAAACGUAGGCUAAUGUGUUGUGAGCACGUUUAAGAUAGGCGAGGUAAAGCUAUGAUUUUCAGUAGUUAGGUGUAUUAAAUGCAUUUUCAACUUACAUUUUUAAUUUACGAUGUAGUUAUUGGGAUGCAACCCCGUCUAAGCGGAGGAAGAUGUGUAUUCCAUAUUACAGAAGUUAACAAUAUUUCCUGCAGCUUGCUGUUCCUCUCACCAGUAGGAUGUGGCUGUCACUGACCAACAAAUGUUUUAUAAUAGUGUUUAUAGAGAUAAUCAAGAAACUGGGAACACUGUUUGCCUCUGGUAAGGAAACUGUGUGACUGAGGACAGGGAAAGAAAUCCCUUUGUCCUUUGUGAAUUUUGUACCAUGGGCAUGCAUUAUUUAUUUAAAAAAUAAUUAAAAAUUUAAAACUUGAAGACACAGAGGAAACAUAGCAUCAAAAUUGACAUCCCUUCUUGUCCAAAAAGGCUCACUAAGGCUUAAAAAAAGUGAAAAAAACAAACCAUCUGAUACAGAAAUAUGAUCUCGAAUUUGCAAAAAGAUAUUUGCAUACUAGUGUCCUGGCACUGACAGAUGACUGGAAGGGUAUCCAAACUGGCAACUCUGAUUAUCUUUGUGGUAAAUUAGUAGUAAUUUUUAUUGUUUUCUGAAUGCUUUUCUGUAUUAUCUGAACUUCUACAAUGAGCAUUUAUUGGUUUUAUAAUUAGAGAAACAAUUUUAAAAAGACGAUUCUUUUAAGUUUGUCUUUCUUUAUGCAGUAGUUCUGAAUUGUUGUAGCCUUGUAACUUAUAGCCUCCUUGUUUUGGUAGAUCUCCAAUCUCUAAAGAGAUUCUAAAACCCAGCUUUUAAACUAUCUUACCUCAGAUCCUCAUAAUAACAAACUCACAUUUAAGCUUUCCUAGGUAGCUCUUCAAUAUAAAUCCUUUACAAAAAUAACCUGCAAUAAUUGCAGUAAUCAGUACCUAAUUUAUAUGAUUGAUCAACUCCUAUAUCACAUAUAUUCACUUUCUUAAAUCAGCAAGCCCCUGGAGGCUUUUAAGAACUUGGAUAUGGUUAAUUGUGCGUGUUUCCUCCUAUUUGAUGCUAAUUCAUGUGUUGUCAAACAUUGACUAGAUUCCUUUUUUUCUCCCCUGUAAGAAUGGCAUUAACUUCAAAGUCACUUCUUCCUGUUCAAACAGAAGGCUUUAGCACAUUCCUUCAAGAAACUGCCAGUUUUUCAAAAGUGUUUGUAUCUGCCCCCAGUUUCUGCCACAGAGCUGAAACCCUUGUAAUUUCCUAAGUGGUAAGAGCACUGGGAGCGUCUUUUGUUCUAAUGAGGUGACUCUGGGUGGGCUCCUGGUUGGCUCCUGGAUGGGGGCUGAUCACCAGAAACACCAAGUCAUGAUUACAAGCCUGGACUCUUCAGCUCUAACCCCCGUACUCCAGAAAGGAGAGAGGGGUUAGAAAUGGAGUUAAUAAUUGAUCAUGCCAACGUGAGGAACCUCCAUAAAAUCCCAAUAGUAGGAGGUUUGGAGAGCUUCAGAGUUGGUGAAUGCACCCCAACUCCAUGGAGACAGAAGCUUUUGCACACUUGGGACCCUCCCAGACCUUACCCUGUGUAUCUCUUUAAUACCUGUUCAUUUGGAUCCCUUAUUCACAUCCUUUAAUAAACCGGUUGUGUGUUUCCCUGUGCUCUGUAAA
Manis javanica (Malayan pangolin) is the source of this 3811-nucleotide non-coding RNA. The record is from RefSeq and is a predicted model, not a curated record. Lineage: Eukaryota; Metazoa; Chordata; Mammalia; Pholidota; Manidae.